RNAcentral lists this ribosomal RNA (399 nucleotides) under uncultured bacterium. RNAcentral describes it as "bacterial SSU rRNA". It matches the Rfam family "Bacterial small subunit ribosomal RNA", at positions 29 to 431 of the family's 1533-position model. The record is from RNAcentral.
AUUGAACGCUGGCGGCAUGCUUUACACAUGCAAGUCGAACGGUAACAGGCCUUCGGGUGCUGACGAGUGGCGAACGGGUGAGUAAUGCAUCGGAACGUGCCCAAUCGUGGGGGAUAACGUAGCGAAAGUUACGCUAAUACCGCAUAAGCCCUGAGGGGGAAAGCAGGGGAUCGCAAGACCUUGCGCGAAUGGAGCGGCCGAUGUCAGAUUAGCUAGUUGGUGGGGUAAAGGCCUACCAAGGCGACGAUCUGUAGCGGGUCUGAGAGGAUGAUCCGCCACACUGGGACUGAGACACGGCCCAGACUCCUACGGGAGGCAGCAGUGGGGAAUUUUGGACAAUGGGCGCAAGCCUGAUCCAGCCAUGCCGCGUGCGGGACGAGGGCCUUCGGGUUGUAAACC